UAAGCACUCCGCCUGGGGAGUACGACCGCAAGGUUGAAACUCAAAGGAAUUGACGGGGGCCCGCACAAGCGGUGGAGCAUGUGGUUUAAUUCGAAGCAACGCGAAGAACCUUACCAGGUCUUGACAUCCUUUGACCACUCUGGAGACAGAGCUUUCCCUUCGGGGACAAAGUGACAGGUGGUGCAUGGUUGUCGUCAGCUCGUGUCGUGAGAUGUUGGGUUAAGUCCCGCAACGAGCGCAACCCUUGAUUUUAGUUGCCAGCAUUUAGUUGGGCACUCUAAAGUGACUGCCGGUGCAAGCCGGAGGAAGGUGGGGAUGACGUCAAAUCAUCAUGCCCCUUAUGACCUGGGCUACACACGUGCUACAAUGGAUAGUACAAAGGGUCGCGAAGCCGCGAGGUGGAGCUAAUCCCAUAAAACUAUUCUCAGUUCGGAUUGUAGGCUGCAACUCGCCUACAUGAAGCCGGAAUCGCUAGUAAUCGUGGAUCAGCAUGCCACGGUGAAUACGUUCCCGGGCCUUGUACACACCGCCCGUCACACCACGAGAGUUUGUAACACCCGAAGUCGGUAGGGUAACCUUUAUGGAGCCAGCCGCCGAAGGUGGGACAGAUAAUUGGGGUGAAGUCGUAACAAGGUAGCCGUAUCGGAAGGUGCGGCUGGAUCACCUCCUUU
RNAcentral lists this ribosomal RNA (671 nucleotides) under Listeria monocytogenes. RNAcentral's name for it is "bacterial SSU rRNA". It matches the Rfam family "Bacterial small subunit ribosomal RNA", at positions 861 to 1533 of the family's 1533-position model. The record is from RNAcentral. Lineage: Bacteria; Bacillati; Bacillota; Bacilli; Caryophanales; Listeriaceae.